CCUACAGGUGGCAGCAGUAGGGAAUUUUCCGCAAUGGGGGAAACUCUGACGCAGCAACGCCGCGUGAUCGAUGAAGCCCUUCGGGGCGUAAAGAUCUGUCAGUGGGGACGAAACCUGACGGUACCCACAGAGGAAGCACCGGCAAACUCCGUGCCAGCAGCCGCGGUAAUACGGGGGGUGCAAGCGUUGUCCGGAAUCAUUGGGCGUAAGGAGUUCGUAGGUGGCACGUUAAGUCGGGUGUAAAAGGCUGAAGCUCAACUUCCGUAGGGCACUGGAUACUGGCGAGCUUGAAUGCGGUAGAGGUAAAGGAAAUUCCUGGUGUAGCGGUGAAAUGCGUAGUUAUCAGGAGGAACAUCGGUGGCGUAAGCGCUUUACGGGGCCGUAAUUGACACUGAGGAACGAAAGCCGGGGUAGCAACUGGGAUUAGAUACCCUUGUAGU
RNAcentral lists this ribosomal RNA (440 nucleotides) under uncultured bacterium. RNAcentral's name for it is "partial 16S ribosomal RNA". It matches the Rfam family "Bacterial small subunit ribosomal RNA", at positions 338 to 794 of the family's 1533-position model. The record is from RNAcentral.